RNAcentral lists this long non-coding RNA (884 nucleotides) under Prunus dulcis (almond). Its description in RNAcentral is "sRNA ncRNA". The record is from RNAcentral. Lineage: Eukaryota; Viridiplantae; Streptophyta; Magnoliopsida; Rosales; Rosaceae.
CCGCGAAGGCCCAAAUCAGUUUUUUUAUCGAAUUAUUAGUAGUUGCUGAAAUCCCUAAUUUUUCUUUCUUCACAAAAUCCCAAAACCUAUUCGACCAGAACCAAAUCCCUAACCCUAAAUUGGUCCCGACGCCUUCUGCGACGCCGUAUCCGCCACGUGACCCGUGUCAGAGUAGUAGGAGACGCUUCAGUGAAGAAAAGAGUACGGCCAUCCUCUCCAUUUCUUGUUCCACAACACCAAAAGCUGCAAGGUCUGCAAUUUCGUGUUUUUAAAAAGUUUUCCCCUAUUGGAUGUAAUUCUUUGCUCUUGUAUUUCAAACCCUAAAUUCUAGUUUUUGGAAAGCAGAGGGUGUUUCAAGACUCCAGUUUUGGCUUACUCUUAAAAUUCUUCAUAUCCUGUAAUUAUUUUGAUUUCAGAAGCCCCCUUCUUUAUAUGCUUAUUUGUUGCAUGAGUCUUAAGAUGAGCUGAAAGUGUCUAUUCUAGCAUCUUCUAUGUUCUUGCUUAUCUGGUGUUUUGUUCACACAGAUGCAUGAAUUUUGUGUGUGGAGUUUUUCUGACUUUGGGGUAUUUGUGAAUUAGGCACUGGAGCAGAUCAAGUUAAUUUUUCAGCAGCCAAGAAGCAUUCUACCAUGCAAGUCAUAGAGCAAAGCAGAUGUGUUGUGAAGUUUGCUUUAUCAUUUGUUUUGUUGUGCACAGUGGGUGAGGGAGAUGAGAGAUGUUUGAGAGAUCAUGCCAAGUGUUUCAUAUGUGCACAAUAUUUUCAUCAUAACACUAGGAAAUAACUUGAGGGAAACUUUUAACAAAUGGAAUCAAAGGCCAUUCCUAAGUUACAUUGUGUGUGGCGAAAAAAAAAACCUCUUUAAACAGAGGGCGCAAGGAAGUCA